CCCUUAGAUGUCCUGGGCCGCACGCGCGCUACACUGAUGCAUGCAACGAGUUUAUAACCUUGGCCUGAAAGGUCUGGGUAAUCUUUUGAACGUGCAUCGUGAUAGGGAUAGAUUAUUGCAAUUGUUAAUCUUGAACGAGGAAUUCCUAGUAAACGCGAGUCAUCAGCUCGCAUUGAUUACGUCCCUGCCCUUUGUACACUCCGCCCGUCGCACCUACCGAUUGAAUGGUUCGGUGAAGAUCUCGGACUUCGAUAUUUAUUCUUUAUUGAGUUUAUAUUGUGGGAAGUUAUCUAAACCUCAUCAUUUAGAGGAAGGUGAAGUCGUAACA
RNAcentral lists this ribosomal RNA (328 nucleotides) under uncultured eukaryote. Its description in RNAcentral is "partial 18S ribosomal RNA". It matches the Rfam family "Eukaryotic small subunit ribosomal RNA", at positions 1470 to 1796 of the family's 1831-position model. The record is from RNAcentral.